GGUGUCUAAUACCGCAUGUGGUCUAAGGAUUAAAGCUUUAUGCGCUUUGGGAGCGGCCUGCGUAAGAUUAGCUAGUUGGUGAGGUAAUAGCUCACCAAGGCGACGAUCUUUAGCUGGUCUGAGAGGAUGAUCAGCCAGACUGGGACUGAGACACGGCCCAGACUCCUACGGGAGGCAGCAGUAGGGAAUUUUCACAAUGGACGAAAGUCUGAUGGAGCAACGCCGCGUGCAGGAUGAAGGCCCUUGGGUCGUAAACUGCUUUUAUGAGUGAAGAUUUAGACGGUAACUCAAGAAUAAGGGACGGCUAACUACGUGCCAGCAGCCGCGGUCAUACGUAGGUCCCAAGCGUUAUCCGGAAUUACUGGGCGUAAAGAGUUGUGUAGGUGGCAGUUCAAGUUAGUAGUGAAAGCGUGUGGCUCAACCACAUAUCCAUUAUUAAAACUGGACAGCUAGAGGGCGAGAGAGGUUAUUGGAAUUUCUAGUGUAGGAGUGAAAUCCGUAGAUAUUAGAAGGAACACCGAUGGCGUAGGCAGAUAACUGGCUCGCACCUGACACUCAGACACGAAAGCGUGGGGAGCGAACGGGAUUAGAUACCCCGGUAGUCCACGCCCUAAACUAUGGAUGCUAGCUGUUGGUCGUAUCGACCCGAUCAGUAGCGAAGCUAACGCGUUAAGCAUCCCGCCUGUGGAGUACGAGCGCAAGCUUAAAACAUAAAGGAAUUGACGGGCACCCGCACAAGCGGUGGAGCGUGUUGUUUAAUUCGAUGAUAAGCGAAGAACCUUACCCAGACUUGACAUCCUUGGAAGUCCAGCGAAAGCCGGAUGUGUCUUCGGAAGCCAAGUGACAGGUGUUGCAUGGCCGUCGUCAGCUCGUGUCGUGAGAUGUUAGGUUAAGUCCUUCAACGAGCGCAACCCUUAUAGUUAGUUGUAUUUUUCUAGCUAGACUGCCCUGGUAACAGGGAGGAAGGAGGGGAUGAUGUCAGGUCAGUAUUACCCUUACGUCUGGGACUACAAACACGCUACAAUGGCCGGUACAAAGGGAUGCCAACCCGCGAGGGGGAGCAAAUCCUAUCAAAGCCGGUCUCAGUUCGGAUUGCAGGCUGAAACUCGCCUGCAUGAAGCUGGAAUCGCUAGUAACGGUAAGUCAGCACAUUACCGUGAAUACGUUCCCGGGUCUUGUACACACCGCCCGUCAAGCCAUGAAAGUCGCCAAUACCCAACGUCCUAGCUAGUCUAGGCCUAAGGUAGGGGAGAUGAUUGGGGUUAAGUCGUAACAAGGUA
RNAcentral lists this ribosomal RNA (1280 nucleotides) under metagenome. RNAcentral describes it as "bacterial SSU rRNA". It matches the Rfam family "Bacterial small subunit ribosomal RNA", at positions 158 to 1498 of the family's 1533-position model. The record is from RNAcentral.